RNAcentral lists this ribosomal RNA (1074 nucleotides) under uncultured bacterium. RNAcentral's name for it is "bacterial SSU rRNA". It matches the Rfam family "Bacterial small subunit ribosomal RNA", at positions 74 to 1162 of the family's 1533-position model. The record is from RNAcentral.
CCCAGCUUGCUGGGGGGAUUAGUGGCGAACGGGUGAGUAACACGUGAGUAACCUGCCCCUGACUCUGGGAUAAGCGCUGGAAACGGCGUCUAAUACCGGAUAUGACAGCCGACGGCAUCGUCUGGUUGUGGAAAGAUUUUUCGGUUGGGGAUGGACUCGCGGCCUAUCAGGUUGUUGGUGAGGUAAUGGCUCACCAAGCCUACGACGGGUAGCCGGCCUGAGAGGGUGACCGGCCACACUGGGACUGAGACACGGCCCAGACUCCUACGGGAGGCAGCAGUGGGGAAUAUUGCACAAUGGGCGCAAGCCUGAUGCAGCAACGCCGCGUGAGGGAUGACGGCCUUCGGGUUGUAAACCUCUUUUAGUAGGGAAGAAGCGUAAGUGACGGUACCUGCAGAAAAAGCACCGGCUAACUACGUGCCAGCAGCCGCGGUAAUACAUAGGGUGCAAGCGUUGUCCGGAAUUAUUGGGCGUAAAGAGCUCGUAGGCGGUUUGUCGCGUCUGCUGUGAAAACCGGAGGCUCAACCUCCGGCCUGCAGUGGGUACGGGCAGACUAGAGUGCGGUAGGGGAGAUUGGAAUUCCUGGUGUAGCGGUGGAAUGCGCAGAUAUCAGGAGGAACACCGAUGGCGAAGGCAGAUCUCUGGGCCGUAACUGACGCUGAGGAGCGAAAGCAUGGGGAGCGAACAGGAUUAGAUACCCUGGUAGUCCAUGCCGUAAACGUUGGGCGCUAGAUGUAGGGGCCAUUCCACGGUUUCUGUGUCGCAGCUAACGCAUUAAGCGCCCCGCCUGGGGAGUACGGCCGCAAGGCUAAAACUCAAAGGAAUUGACGGGGGCCCGCACAAGCGGCGGAGCAUGCGGAUUAAUUCGAUGCAACGCGAAGAACCUUACCAAGGCUUGACAUAUACCGGUAACGAUCAGAGAUGGUCGCCCCGCAAGGUCGGUAUACAGGUGGUGCAUGGUUGUCGUCAGCUCGUGUCGUGAGAUGUUGGGUUAAGUCCCGCAACGAGCGCAACCCUCGUUCUAUGUUGCCAGCACGUUAUGGUGGGAACUCAUAGGAGACUGCCGGGGUCAAC